CUGCUGCCUUCCGUAGGAGUUUGGACCGUGUCUCAGUUCCAAUGUGGGGGACCUUCCUCUCAGAACCCCUACUGAUCGUCGCCCCGGUGGGCCGUUACCCCGCCGGCAAGCUAAUCAGACGCAUCCCCAUCCUUUACCGGCCGAAGCCUUUGGUCAUGAAAAUAUGCAUCAACAUGACAACAUACGGUAUUAAUCCGCCUUUCGACGGGCUGUCCCAUAGUAAAGGGCAGGUUGGAUACGCGCUACUCACCCGUACGCCGGUCGCCA
Molecule: ribosomal RNA, 267 nt
Filed under: uncultured bacterium
Lineage: Bacteria
Description: partial 16S ribosomal RNA
Source: RNAcentral